UGAGGAAUAUUGGUCAAUGGGGCGGAAGCCUGAACCAGCCAUGCCGCGUGAAGGAAUAAGGCCCUAUGGGUCGUAAACUUCUUUUGGCGGGGAGCAAUAAGGUCUACGUGUAGACCGAUGAGAGUACUCGUUGAAUAAGCAUCGGCUAACUCCGUGCCAGCAGCCGCGGUAAUACGGAGGAUGCGAGCGUUAUCCGGAUUUAUUGGGUUUAAAGGGUGCGUAGGCGGAUGGGUAAGUCAGCGGUGAAAUGUCCCGGCUCAACCGGGGAACUGCCAUUGAUACUGCCUGUCUUGAAUGCGGAUGCCGUGGGAGGAAUGUGUAGUGUAGCGGUGAAAUGCAUAGAUAUUACACAGAACACCGAUUGCGAAGGCAUCUCACGAAUCCGUUAUUGACGCUGAGGCACGAAAGCGUGGGGAUCAAACAGGAUUAGAUACCCUGGUAGU
This 443-nucleotide ribosomal RNA is filed under the name uncultured bacterium. Its description in RNAcentral is "bacterial SSU rRNA". It matches the Rfam family "Bacterial small subunit ribosomal RNA", at positions 355 to 794 of the family's 1533-position model. The record is from RNAcentral.